RNAcentral lists this long non-coding RNA (4959 nucleotides) under Sus scrofa (pig). Its description in RNAcentral is "lncRNA (ENSSSCG00035079331.1)". Lineage: Eukaryota; Metazoa; Chordata; Mammalia; Artiodactyla; Suidae. The record is from RNAcentral.
GCCUACACCACAGCCACAGCAACGCCAGAUCCAAGCCAUGUCUGUGACCCACACCACAGCUCAUGGCAACACCAGAUCCUUAACCCGCUGAGUGAGGCCAGGGAUAGAACCUGCAACCCCACGGUUCCUAGUCGGAUUCGUUUCCGCUAGAGAGGGAGAUGGUGCCAGCCUUGAGAACCCACAGACCUGUGGGACCAGCCCUUGAAUAAUCCCGGGCGGGCAUUGAAGGCAAUUGCAAUUUGAAGAUCCCUGCUUGCUUAGUACAAGUGGAAAAUUACUUCGCAUCUUUUCUGGAUUGCUUUUUGAUCCCGAUUUCAUCAUUCAGAUGUACAGCAGUGCAUUUUCAACGGGUACAAUUUAAUUAGGCUCAAUUUGUAUAACUACAUUAUUAAAGACUCAUUUGGAAAGAGCUUCAUGUCCAAGGUUCACUGGGCUCCACCGUUUGCUUGAAAACACAUUUGGAAUAGAGCCCGCUGACGACCCUGGCUUCUGGAGCGCUCUCCUCCUGCCUCCAGCACACCAGCCUGGCUUGUCAUUUAAUUUCCAUCUCAUUUAAUAGAAUGUCUUUGGACAUCUCUGGGGCUCAGAGCCUCUGACGGGUGUCUCCUGUAAUUACACAGAGAUUCCUCGUAUGCUCCUUCAGUUGGGCAUCAAACAUUCAUGGGGAAUAUUAUUGGAGUGAGGUCCUGAGCCAGGGGCCGGGGACAGGAAUAAAAAGGUACAGCCCUGCAGACGCACACCUGAGAGCCGAGAAGGAGGCGGACAGGGAGGAAAUCCAUGGUCCCUUUUUCAUGCUCAUGAGCAAUCCCGUGGGGUGGGCAGUGAGGGGCCAUCAGCCCCAUUAGGAGAUGAGGAUUGCAAGGCUCAGGGUCCCUAAGUCAAUGCCAGGGUCAGGGCUUAAAGCCAGUUCUCUGGACUGGUUCUGCUUCACCAAGCUCUUUCUUCCCUUGUGGGUGAAGUACAAGGCUAUUUGCCAUGACUGGGGUGACGGCAAUGAAAUGAUCAAGUCAGACCAGGAAACCUGAGCACCUGGGGGAAGACUCCUGGCAGGUGUCAGACCUGGAGGCCCAGAAACCCCCAAGUCAUUGAAUGUGGAGCCGGGAUGGGGCAGGGGAGCAGUGUAUGUGCAGGAGGAUGUAUCAGUCCAGGUUCUACAGAGAAGCACAGCCAGUACGAUGGAUACAUACACAUAGAAGGAGAUUUAUUAUAAGGAAUUGAUUCAUAUAAUUGUGCAGGCUGAGCAGUCCCAAGUACUGUCAUCCGCAAGCUGGAGAGCCCAGGGGAGCCCGUCUCGUAAAUUCUAAUCUGAAACCUGGCAGGCUUGAGACCCAAGGAGAGCAGAGAGAUGUUCCCAUUUAAGUAUGAAGGCAGGAAAAGACUGAUGGCCUAGCUCAGGUCAACCAGGCAGAAGGAGUCCCCUAAAUAGUCUUCUACUUAGGCCUUCAACUGAUUGGAUGAGGCCCACCCGCACUACGGGGGGCACUCUGCUUCACGCAGUCUACCCCUUCAAAUGGGAAUCUCAUCACGAAACCCCCUCACAUGCACACCCAGAAUGUCUGACCGAAGGUCUAGGUCUACCAUGGCCCAAUGGAACUAACACAUAAAAUGAAUCAUCACAGAGGGAGGGAGAGAAGGGAGUCGAAAGACGCUGCUGCUGGUAGACCCGAUGGUGGCAAGGAAGCGAAGGAAGCUCACAUCUCAGUUCAUCCUCACAGCCUCCCUGUGGGAUACGGGUGCCUGUGCCCAUUUUGGAGAUGAGGACAGAGGCUGAGAUAAAUUCUUUUACCCAAGGACACGUAGCUGAUGGCUCCGUGCCUCCUUGUCCCCAGGUAAUAUUUGCCUCUAUGGAGGAAGGGCGAGGACACUGUCCACAGGGCUCCCUCCUAGGUUCUAGCUCUUGUUUUCAGUUGCCUCUUCUGUCCUUCCAGUGCAGUCAGAAUCUGGUUGAAUUGCUGAAUCGCCUGUCUCUAUCCACGGCAAAUUUGGAGGGCAGGUGGCAUCACUGUCAGCACCAUGGUCAAUGAAGUCUCCAAGGUCUCCCAUCAUCCUCUGCUUCAAAGAUGCUAAAAGGCCUGGAGCAGGAUGUAGGACCCCAACUCUGCCUCUGAGUUGCUGUGUGGCCUUGGAUAAAUUUCUUCUUCUCUCUGGGCCCCAGGCUACUCAUCGAUAGAUUAAUAAAGGAGGACUGGAAGAUGUCUAAAGACUAGCAGAACCUUCUGAGGGGUUCUAUGACUCCAAUCUGCAUCUGUCCUUUACUGGAAACCACUUAGCCUCCAGAGCCUCCAAGCCCUAUGGGGCUUCUCUGGCAAAGCUUCCAACCACCAAGCUCUACACCCCUCCCUGAAGGAAAUUGACACUGGGAAGCUCCCAUAAGCAGGGCCAUGGGCAGGGAGGUGUAGGCUCGGGUGUUUUAAGGAGAUGGUUUCACACGUACCCCUGGUUCAACUUCCCAUGUUAUCAUCAGCCUGUGGAGCAUGCUCAGCCUUGACCAGCACACAGCUAAGGACAAGCUCUUCCUCUCUUGCUUCCCCCUAAAGAACAUUCCUGCAUGAAGAAAACCCUAUGCUUCUCCUUUGCUCUUGCACUGCUCUUAUACUCACAAUACACCUGAUACCAGAUGUAUGGGUGUCUUCCCCACUCCAGGAAGAGCAUCUGGGUGUCCUGCCAUUUAACUCAGUUCUGACACUAGCUACCUGGAGAGAGCACCAGGUCUCACAGCCCUAAAGGCUCCGUCCCAGGAAGGCUCCCAUCCUCACCUGCGCCCCCCCAUUUCAGAUGCUAAUCACAAGGAGUAGGUCCCCAGGUCACCCACACCUUCUGUCUGACUUGGCUGCAUAUUGGAGGUCCUUAGGAUCCACUUCCUUUGGAUUCGAUUAUUGCCUAGACCAGAUUACAGAACUCAGGGAAAAUGCUUAUUUAUAUUUACCACUUCAUUAUAUAAUAAAGGAUACGCUAAAGGAUUUGGAUGAACUGCCAGAUGAAGACUGAGGUCUGGCAGAGUCCUGAGUGCACAACCUUCUGUCCCCAUGGAGUUAGGAUGUGUCAUCCUCUCGGUACAUGGAUUUGUUCACCUACCCGGAAAUGCUACACGCGCCAUUCUAUUGGGAUUUGCAUGGAGGCUUCGUCACGUAGGCUUGAUCAUUUAGUACCUCCCUUUCCAAUCCCUCUGCCCCUUGUGGAGAAUGGGGGUGGAGCCGAAAAUGCCAAACUUUUCAUUAUGACUUGGUCUUUUUGGUGACCAGCCCCCAUCAGGAGCCAUCCACGCACCCCCCCAGAGUCACUUCGCUAGAACGAAAUACACUCUUAUCACCCAGGAUUUAGGAGCCCUGUGUCAGGGACUGGAGUCAAAGACCAAUUAUUAGAACAGAAGAUGUUCCCAGUGCUCUUAUCACUAAGUAAAUUACAGGGGUUUUAGGAGCCUUGUGUCAGGACCUGGGACAGAAACCACUAUGUGUAUUUCUUAUUUUUUCACAAUUCCUCAGUCGCUCACCCCCAAGGCACAUCCAGGGCUGGGGAUCAAAAGGAGCUUUAAAAUUACACUUUUGCCUCUGCCCCAGGACCUUUGCACAAGCUAUUCCCCCUCAGCUGGGAAUCCUCACUUUCCACCUGACCAGUUCCUGCUCACAUUUCCAACCUUAAUGUAAAUACCAUCUCCACCAGGAAGCCUUCCUGGAAUUCCCAAACUAGAUUACGGUAUCUUGUAAUAUCCUCCCCUUGUUCCGUAAAUGUCUCCUCCAUAGCUCUUGUCCCAGUUGCAGUCAGAACAACAUGUGUCAGAGCGUUUGUUUAAUCUCCAGUUCUAGAAUGCCAACUCAAUGGGAGCAGCAGCCACAUCUGACCUAUUCAUUUCUGUGUCCCCAGUACUAGCCAAGGGCUGGGGCAUGUAAUAUAUACUCAAUAAAUGUUUGCUGAUGGAUGGGCUGGAUGCUUGAAUGCUUUAGUGCCAUGAGACCUUGGGGAUAAAGAAAAAAAUAAAAAAUGCAGAAUCCACCCGUGUUUUCUGAGCGCUGUAAACACUUAGCCAUCCUGCUGACCACAGAGCAAAAACAUCCAAUCCCACUACUGAAACAAGGGAAGGACAGGUGAGGCUGUUGGCUAUGGGACCCUCACCCUUCUCCCUUCUCCUGCCUCCCUCUCACCUGGCUCCUGCUGUGGGGGUAGCUGGAGAAAGGACUCAUACUAAGAGGGGCUCCUGCCGAGAUUCCCCCACCAGAACCCCUCCCCCAUACUCUGCCAUCCUCUGUGGUUGCUCUGGAAACCACUGUGGCACCAUCAGCGGAGGAUGAGGAUUUCAGGUGGGCUAAUCGGCCCCAGGAAUCAGCUUGGAGACUUAGAGCCUCUGGGUGGUUCCUAUGUAAAUACUCUCAGCGUAGAGAACAGAAGGAAAGACAGUGAAUCCAGGCUGUCCGGAAAUCCACAGAAGCAGCUUUCAUUCCUGAAAAGGGUCUUCUUUUUUCCUCCACCCUUCCCUGACUGUGGCACAUCUCACACACUGCAGGGAGCUGUCAGCGCCACGGAGAGACUGGAGGAAUUAAAAAUAAAAAUUGACUUUCAGAGAACAAAAUCAGACCUGACAACUCAAGUCACUCAAACCAGCCGUGGUUAGAAGAUUGCAAAUAUGUUUGUAGAAAGGGGGUGGCGGCGACGGGCGGGGUGGGAGGGAGGCAGAAUAUUAACUCGGGUAGUCAGUGUGGGAGCCGGGGCUUCGAUGCCUUCUUUGAUAUGGCCAUCGAUUAGCACUUGCGGCUUAAGGGCUCCAGGGAGUAACAUCCCCACAGGCCUUGUUUCCUAUCGAGGGUGUCCCUACGCCCAGAGGGACACUAAUCCCUAAUGCCCUGUGACUCAGUUUACUGGAAAAAAAGGACAAAGAAACUAAGAGACUUAACAGGGACAUUUCCACCCCUAAGACCCUAUUGGACACGGACCGAUAUGGUAAUUGAACAAGGUCAAUGGGAGAAA